AGAGCCGGUGCACCGACAGAGCCUGGUAUUGGCUUUGGGUCCGUGAAACACCACGGAUGCUCACAAACCCCGCGACCCGUCAACCAUCUUGACUCAAGGACCCCCCCCCACGCCCACCCCGAAUGCGGAGGGACCGGCGGGCUGGAAUCCACGACCGGCGAGUCUGCCCUCGCCUGCACACUGCAGCCUCAGCCUGGAGAGCCCCGGCACGCACCCCCGCCCCCCGCCCCCGCCCCGCCCCGUCGCGGGUCUUUUACCUUGUGGCCUUUCCCUGGGGGACACCUGACGUUGUUGGAGGCUCCCGCUGUUUGAUUCAUGUCCGGAGGAAGUUGGGGGGCCCGAUUCUCGGCCUUCAAAACUUCCUUCGCGCGUGGAGGGUGGCAAGGUGCGCGUCUCGGGGAGGCCAGGUGGGUCCUCCCUCUCCAGCCACGGCCGGGCGAGCGGAAGCCGGUUCCUCACGCCGCAGGUUUCGGCGGGGCUCCUCGCCCAGGGAUGACAGCCCGCAGCCCGGUGCUGAGGAAGGAGAAGCUGCGGCUGGGACCCCGGAGGGAGCCCGGGCGGCAGCAGCGGCUUCCAGGGCGCUCUGCCCAGCGCUGCCUUCCUGGGAAACAGUCCAGACUCUCAGGACCAGAAGCCCGAGCAAAUCGGAAAGGAGCUCCGAGGAGGGGCCAAGGAGCCCUCCACACCCUCAAAGGCUCAGGCUGGAGCCGUCAUCAGCGCAGAGCAGGCACCCCUCUCGCCUUGCAGCGGUCAUGAUCUAAUUAGUCAGCUUUCGGAUAGAGGUGGAAAACUGACCCUUGGGAACUAAGAAAAACAAAUCAAGAAAGAGCAACUGCUCCGUGAAGACUGCAUUGCAACAUUCUAGAAUUACAAGUCUGAGUGGUGGACCAGCAGCACAUUAGAAUACAGCCUUGGAGUUUAGCUAAAUGUUUUUUUCUAGAUUCCUGCAGGUAGAGAUGGCAGAGUUUGAAUAUUCUGGGUGGAAAAUCAAACCACACAACUCGGUUUCUGUUUCCAGAUCGCUCAUCCUUCGGUUCAUCAUCUGUAAAGUGAAGGAAGAUAUUGGCUUCCCCGGUGAGAACCGGAGCUGCGGUUCCUCCUCAGUCACGUUGGGGAACAGCACGUCCCCAUGGGUGCCCCUUUAGAGUAAAAAGGAGAUUUCCUUCUCAGGGGUCUGCCGAUGCUCACUGUCAUCUCCCUAGCCAUGGCUGACCUCCAACUACAGGAAGUGACUGUGAUGAGGCCCAGCUGUCAUGCUUUGGAAUCCAUCACGGUGUGUGCCGAGGUCGCGCCUCCCUCCUCCCGGCCAGUAAUGGAGUGUGGCAGGCUGGUAACAAAGGCCUGCUCUUAGGAGAUGUGGGAGCUCCCUGAUGGCCAACUUUCAUUCAAGGACUGCCUGCAGAAAGAGUAUUCCGUGGGCCACACAGUGACUCAGAGAUCCAGCCAGUCUUCACUUGGCAGCUCUGUCAUCUCAACGUGUGGCUUCCAUCACCACAGCUGGAAAACCAAAAGCCAGAGGUCUGCACAGGGCUUUUCCUUCCUUGUAGAGGGGAGUUUUCAUCUCUGCUCAGAUGAGAGAAGGCUUUGCCUUGAGGAUAGAGGAGGAUUUUGAAGGAUAAGGAAAGUGGUUCAGGUUAUGACAAGCCAUCAGCAUCAUUUAAGUAAAGGUAAACCAGACAGGUCAGUCUUGUUCCAGCAAAACGGUUACAUAGAGAAAAAGCAGAUUGGAUCUUUGAAUGCUUGACUACGGAGCUUGGACUCAAUCUCACGGUUAAUAGGCAGGAAUUGGUUCAAUAGCCGCUAGUUCUUAGCGGGAAGGAAGAGUGUGCUAUUUGGAUUCUAUAGAACCAAUUUCACUCUCCAUUUGUAUUUGCAGAUUCAGCUUCAAGACCAUUUUCUCAUGUUCUAAAAGUUCAAAAGCAAGCACUCAGGAGAGAGUUGGCUAUGCGUUCCUGCCUUGGGUUUUCUAAGACUAACCACCUGGUGAAUUCCGCAAUCCUGUUAAAUGAUGCUCCUGAACCGAGGAGGACACAGGCAAGCCAAAGGCAGAAUGACUGUCUCCAUGAGUGAUGAGAGAGCUGCAGACCUGAUAGGCAGAUAGAGCAUUAUUAAUAGACCAGGGGUUGGUGCUGGCUAUCACCUGAGCUGCCCAGGCUCUUCUUGUGUGGCAUAAGGGACUUUCUGCCAUCAUUUGGAUUUGGAACGGUGGACGAACAUCUCCAGUAACACUGUCCAGACAAUAUAUAAAGUUGAAAAUUUACCAAAUACAGCAUAUUUAAAGGAGCUUUAUCUUUCAAAACAAUAUGCAUACAUUUUAAAGGCAAAUAAAUGAAUAUAAUACCAGU
RNAcentral lists this long non-coding RNA (2345 nucleotides) under Equus asinus (donkey). Its description in RNAcentral is "lncRNA (ENSEASG00005034051.1)". Lineage: Eukaryota; Metazoa; Chordata; Mammalia; Perissodactyla; Equidae. The record is from RNAcentral.